CGCCCCGCACCCGCCCCGGUCCCGCCCCGCACCCGCCCCGGACCCGCCUCCCAGGCCCGAGCGGACCCUGACCUGAAGGCUUCCCGGCCUCGGCUGUACCUGUGCCCUACGGGUUAGCAUGCUGCGUUCCGGAACUUAACAGAUUGGCGAGUUGAUGUGAACAUUGAGUACAGAGGAGCCCUCCGGACCGAAGCGGAUGCAGACUUCCUCUCAGCGGGCAGAGGCCUUUGCAGGGUCGGCGGGAGCAACGCUGCUCACACUGCCGCUCACACUGCCGGGGCGGCCCGGAGGUUCCUGAUAAAAGGUCCUGGAACGACUGAAUCGGCAGUUUAAAUAAAUAAAGUACAUCCAUUGUUCA
Long non-coding RNA from Heterocephalus glaber (naked mole-rat), 358 nucleotides. RefSeq lists it as uncharacterized. NCBI's taxonomy places the organism in Eukaryota, Metazoa, Chordata, Mammalia, Rodentia, Bathyergidae. The record is from RefSeq and is a predicted model, not a curated record.